RNAcentral lists this ribosomal RNA (674 nucleotides) under uncultured bacterium. RNAcentral's name for it is "bacterial SSU rRNA". It matches the Rfam family "Bacterial small subunit ribosomal RNA", at positions 43 to 706 of the family's 1533-position model. The record is from RNAcentral.
CAGGCUUAACACAUGCAAGUCGAGGGGCAGCAUGGUCUUAGCUUGCUAAGGCCGAUGGCGACCGGCGCACGGGUGAGUAACACGUAUCCAACCUGCCGUCUACUCUUGGACAGCCUUCUGAAAGGAAGAUUAAUACAAGAUGGCAUCAUGAGUCCGCAUGUUCACAUGAUUAAAGGUAUUCCGGUAGACGAUGGGGAUGCGUUCCAUUAGAUAGUAGGCGGGGUAACGGCCCACCUAGUCUUCGAUGGAUAGGGGUUCUGAGAAGAAGGUCCCCCACAUUGGAACUGAGACACGGUCCAAACUCCUACGGGAGGCAGCAGUGAGGAAUAUUGGUCAAUGGGCGAGAGCCUGAACCAGCCAAGUAGCGUGAAGGAUGACUGCCCUAUGGGUUGUAAACUUCUUUUAUAAAGGAAUAAAGUCGGGUAUGUAUACCCGUUUGCAUGUACUUUAUGAAUAAGGAUCGGCUAACUCCGUGCCAGCAGCCGCGGUAAUACGGAGGAUCCGAGCGUUAUCCGGAUUUAUUGGGUUUAAAGGGAGCGUAGAUGGAUGUUUAAGUCAGUUGUGAAAGUUUGCGGCUCAACCGUAAAAUUGCAGUUGAUACUGGAUAUCUUGAGUGCAGUUGAGGCAGGCGGAAUUCGUGGUGUAGCGGUGAAAUGCUUAGAUAUCACGAAGAA